Molecule: ribosomal RNA, 906 nt
Filed under: Psychrobacter alimentarius
Lineage: Bacteria; Pseudomonadati; Pseudomonadota; Gammaproteobacteria; Moraxellales; Moraxellaceae
Description: bacterial SSU rRNA
Rfam family: Bacterial small subunit ribosomal RNA
Source: RNAcentral
GGAAUUACUGGCGUAAAGCGAGCGUAGGUGGCUUGAUAAGUCAGAUGUGAAAUCCCCGGGCUUAACCUGGGAACUGCAUCUGAUACUGUCAGGCUAGAGUAGGUGAGAGGAAGGUAGAAUUUCCAGGUGUAGCGGUGAAAUGCGUAGAGAUCUGGAGGAAUACCGAUGGCGAAGGCAGCCUUCUGGCAUCAUACUGACACUGAGGCUCGAAAGCGUGGGUAGCAAACAGGAUUAGAUACCCUGGUAGUCCACGCCGUAAACGAUGUCUACUAGUCGUUGGGUCCCUUGAGGACUUAGUGACGCAGCUAACGCAAUAAGUAGACCGCCUGGGGAGUACGGCCGCAAGGUUAAAACUCAAAUGAAUUGACGGGGGCCCGCACAAGCGGUGGAGCAUGUGGUUUAAUUCGAUGCAACGCGAAGAACCUUACCUGGUCUUGACAUAUCUAGAAUCCUGCAGAGAUGCGGGAGUGCCUUCGGGAAUUAGAAUACAGGUGCUGCAUGGCUGUCGUCAGCUCGUGUCGUGAGAUGUUGGGUUAAGUCCCGCAACGAGCGCAACCCUUGUCCUUAGUUACCAGCGGGUUAAGCCGGGAACUCUAAGGAUACUGCCAGUGACAAACUGGAGGAAGGCGGGGACGACGUCAAGUCAUCAUGGCCCUUACGACCAGGGCUACACACGUGCUACAAUGGUAGGUACAGAGGGCAGCUACACAGCGAUGUGAUGCGAAUCUCAAAAAGCCUAUCGUAGUCCAGAUUGGAGUCUGCAACUCGACUCCAUGAAGUAGGAAUCGCUAGUAAUCGCGGAUCAGAAUGCCGCGGUGAAUACGUUCCCGGGCCUUGUACACACCGCCCGUCACACCAUGGGAGUUGAUUGCACCAGAAGUGGUUAGCCUAACCGUAAGGAAGGCG